Molecule: ribosomal RNA, 432 nt
Filed under: uncultured bacterium
Lineage: Bacteria
Description: partial 16S ribosomal RNA
Rfam family: Bacterial small subunit ribosomal RNA
Source: RNAcentral
ACGAACGCUGGCGGCAUGCCUAACACAUGCAAGUCGAACGAGACCUUCGGGUCUAGUGGCGCACGGGUGCGUAACGCGUGGGAACCUGCCCUUAGGUUCGGAAUAACUCCCCGAAAGGGGUGCUAAUACCGGAUAAUAUCUUCGGACCAAAGAUUUAUCGCCUUUGGAUGGGCCCGCGUUGGAUUAGCUAGUUGGUAGGGUAAAAGCCUACCAAGGCGACGAUCCAUAGCUGGUCUGAGAGGAUGAUCAGCCACACUGGGACUGAGACACGGCCCAGACUCCUACGGGAGGCAGCAGUGGGGAAUAUUGGACAAUGGGCGAAAGCCUGAUCCAGCAAUGCCGCGUGAGUGAUGAAGGCCUUAGGGUUGUAAAGCUCUUUUACCCGGGAUGAUAAUGACAGUACCGGGAGAAUAAGCUCCGGCUAACUCCGUG